AGCAUAUCAAUAAGCGGAGGAAAAGAAACCAACAGGGAUUGCCCUAGUAACGGCGAGUGAAGCGGCAACAGCUCAAAUUUGAAAUCUGGCUCUUUUAGGGUCCGAGUUGUAAUUUGCAGAGGGCGCUUUGGCUUUGGCAGCGGUCCAAGUUCCUUGGAACAGGACGUCACAGAGGGUGAGAAUCCCGUACGUGGUCGCUAGCUAUUGCCGUGUAAAGCCCCUUCGACGAGUCGAGUUGUUUGGGAAUGCAGCUCUAAAUGGGAGGUAAAUUUCUUCUAAAGCUAAAUACUGGCCAGAGACCGAUAGCGCACAAGUAGAGUGAUCGAAAGAUGAAAAGCACUUUGGAAAGAGAGUCAAACAGCACGUGAAAUUGUUGAAAGGGAAGCGCUUGCAGCCAGACUUGCUUGCAGUUGCUCAUCCGGGCUUUUGCCCGGUGCACUCUUCUGCAGGCAGGCCAGCAUCAGUUUGGGCGGUGGGAUAAAGGUCUCUGUCACGUACCUCUCUUCGGGGAGGCCUUAUAGGGGAGACGACAUACCACCAGCCUGGACUGAGGUCCGCGCAUUCGCUAGGAUGCUGGCGUAAUGGCUGUAAGCGGCCCGUCUUGAAACACGGACCAAGGAGUCUAACAUCUAUGCGAGUGUUUGGGUGUCAAGCCCGAACGCGUAAUGAAAGUGAACGGAGGUGGGAACCCGCAAGGGUGCACCAUCGACCGAUCCUGAUGUCUUCGGAAGGAUUUGAGUAAGAGCAUGGCUGUUGGGACCCGAAAGAUGGUGAACUAUGCUUGAAUAGGGUGAAGCCAGAGGAAACUCUGGUGGAGGCUCGCAGCGGUUCUGACGUGCAAAUCGAUCGUCAAAUUUGGGCAUAGGGGCGAAAGACUAAUCGAACUAUCUAGUAGCUGGUUCCUGC
Molecule: ribosomal RNA, 906 nt
Filed under: Pyrenophora variabilis
Lineage: Eukaryota; Fungi; Ascomycota; Dothideomycetes; Pleosporales; Pleosporaceae
Description: partial large subunit ribosomal RNA
Rfam family: Eukaryotic large subunit ribosomal RNA
Source: RNAcentral